CCUACGGGAGGCAGCAGUGGGGAAUCUUGGACAAUGGGCGAAAGCCUGACCCAGCGACGCCGCGUGGGGGAUGAAGCCCUUCGGGGUGUAAACCCCUGUUGCGAGGGAGGAAUAAGGCCUGGAGGAAAUGCCAGGCCGAUGACUGUACCUCGCGAGGAAGCCCCGGCUAACUACGUGCCAGCAGCCGCGGUAAUACGUAGGGGGCGAGCGUUACCCGGAUUCACUGGGCGUAAAGCGGGUGUAGGCGGCUCGGUAAGUCGGGUGUGAAAUCCCACAGCUCAACUGUGGAAUUGCGCCCGAAACUGCUGAGCUUGGGGCCGGUAGAGGGAGACGGAACUGCCGGUGUAGGGGUGAAAUCCGUAGAUAUCGGCAGGAACGCCGGUGGGGAAGCCGGUCUCCUGGGCCGCGCCCGACGCUGAGACCCGAAAGCUAGGGGAGCAAACC
RNAcentral lists this ribosomal RNA (444 nucleotides) under uncultured Thermotoga sp. RNAcentral describes it as "bacterial SSU rRNA". It matches the Rfam family "Bacterial small subunit ribosomal RNA", at positions 338 to 774 of the family's 1533-position model. The record is from RNAcentral. Lineage: Bacteria; Thermotogati; Thermotogota; Thermotogae; Thermotogales; Thermotogaceae.